RNAcentral lists this transfer RNA (65 nucleotides) under Bitias brevis. Its description in RNAcentral is "tRNA-Asn". Lineage: Eukaryota; Metazoa; Arthropoda; Malacostraca; Decapoda; Pandalidae. The record is from RNAcentral.
UUAACUAAAGCCAAAAAGAGGCGUACCACUGUUAAUGGUAAUAUUGAGCUAUUGUUCUAGUUAAG